GAUGAACGCUGGCGGCGUGCCUAAUACAUGCAAGUCGAGCGAACAGAUGAGGAGCCUGCUCCUCUGACGUUAGCGGCGGACGGGUGAGUAACACGUGGAUAACCUACCUAUAAGACUGGGAUAACGUCGGGAAACCGGAGCUAAUACCGGAUAAUAUAUUGAACCGCAUGGUUCAAUAGUGAAAGACGGUUUUGCUGUCACUUAUAGAUGGAUCCGCGCCGCAUUAGCUAGUUGGUAAGGUAACGGCUUACCAAGGCAACGAUGCGUAGCCGACCUGAGAGGAUGAUCGGCCACACUGGAACUGAGACACGGUCCAGACUCCUACGGGAGGCAGCAGUAGGGAAUCUUCCGCAAUGGGCGAAAGCCUGACGGAGCAACGCCGCGUGAGUGAUGAAGGUCUUCGGAUCGUAAAACUCUGUUAUUAGGGAAGAACAAAUGUGUAAGUAACUAUGCACGUCUUGACGGUACCUAAUCAGAAAGCCACGGCUAACUACGUG
This 497-nucleotide ribosomal RNA is filed under the name uncultured bacterium. RNAcentral's name for it is "partial 16S ribosomal RNA". It matches the Rfam family "Bacterial small subunit ribosomal RNA", at positions 28 to 507 of the family's 1533-position model. The record is from RNAcentral.